GAUGAACGCUGGCGGCGUGCCUAAUACAUGCAAGUCGAGCGAACAGACGCGGAGCUUGCUCCUCUGACGUUAGGGGCGGACGGGUGAGUAACACGUGGAUAACCUACUUAUAAGACUGGGAUAAUUUCGGGAAACCGGAGCUAAUACCGGAUAAUCUCUUGAACCGUAUGGUUCAUUAGUGAAAGUCGGUUUUGCUGUCACUACUAGAUGGAUCCGCGCUGUAUUAGCUAGUUGGUAAGGUAACGGCUUACCACGGCUACGAUGCGUAGCCGAACUGUGAGGGUGGUCGGCCACACGGGAACUGAGACACGGUCCAGAGUCCUACGGGAGGGAGCAGUAGGGAAUCGUCCGCAGUAGGCGAGAGCCUGACGGAGCAACGCCGCGUGAGUGAUGGAGGUCUUCGGAUCGUAAAACUCUGUUAUUAGGGAAGAACAAAUGUGUAAGGAACUAUACACGUCUUGACGGUACUUGAUCAGAAAGCCACGGCUAACUACGUG
RNAcentral lists this ribosomal RNA (497 nucleotides) under uncultured bacterium. RNAcentral describes it as "partial 16S ribosomal RNA". It matches the Rfam family "Bacterial small subunit ribosomal RNA", at positions 28 to 507 of the family's 1533-position model. The record is from RNAcentral.